AGUGGGGAAUAUUGGACAAUGGGCGGAAGCCUGAUCCAGCAACGCCGCGUGAGGGAUGACGGCCUUCGGGUUGUAAACCUCUUUCAGCACCGACGAAGCGCAAGUGACGGUAGGUGCAGAAGAAGGACCGGCCAACUACGUGCCAGCAGCCGCGGUAAUACGUAGGGUCCGAGCGUUGUCCGGAAUUAUUGGGCGUAAAGGGCUCGUAGGCGGUUUGUCGCGUCGGGAGUGAAAACACCGGGCUUAACUCGGUGCUUGCUUUCGAUACGGGCAGACUGGAGGUAUGCAGGGGAGAACGGAAUUCCUGGUGUAGCGGUGAAAUGCGCAGAUAUCAGGAGGAACACCGGUGGCGAAGGCGGUUCUCUGGGCAUGACCUGACGCUGAGGAGCGAAAGUGUGGGGAGCGAA
Molecule: ribosomal RNA, 407 nt
Filed under: uncultured Nocardioides sp.
Lineage: Bacteria; Bacillati; Actinomycetota; Actinomycetes; Propionibacteriales; Nocardioidaceae
Description: bacterial SSU rRNA
Rfam family: Bacterial small subunit ribosomal RNA
Source: RNAcentral